CACCGCGGUUAUACGAGAGGCUCAAGUUGACAAACCCUCGGCGUAAAGAGUGGUUAAAGACCCCCCCCCUACUAAAGCCGAACAUUCUCAUAGCUGUUAUACGCUCUCGAGAACAAGAAGCCCAAUUACGAAAGUAGCUUUAUUUUACUUGACCCCCCGAAAGCUGNGAAA
Molecule: ribosomal RNA, 171 nt
Filed under: Neoclinus blanchardi (sarcastic fringehead)
Lineage: Eukaryota; Metazoa; Chordata; Actinopteri; Blenniiformes; Labrisomidae
Description: partial small subunit ribosomal RNA
Source: RNAcentral